AUCUAUCUUAUUUGAUACUUGAUACUCAGUUGGAGUAAGGAAAAGUGGAUAGAACUUGUGCAUUAGAUGCAUGUUGCAGAGAGAAACCAAAGGCCAUAGCAUCCUGAAUAAGUGCUCACAAAAACAGCAUUUUCAAGACUAACGGGUUUUGACAAUAAACAAAUUAAGAGUCUUGUUACUAGUUUGGUUAUCCUGGUUAGGCCCAAUAUAAGAGACUGUAGACUUUCUUGUAAUAAUAAUAUUUAUUUUCUUCCUCAGGAACACAUUUAGACAGCCAUCAAUCUGAGGGGAGCGAGAGCUUAUAUACAGAGGAGGUGGGGCUAAUGAUAAAAAUAUGUUUCUCCUCUUGGCAAUUCCUAUCAUCCCAACGGCCUGUAAACAGGGAAGGGAGGCCAUGCCACAUUACAGCGCAGUUGGUCUAUGAAAAACAGAACCAGAAAAAUCAAAAUCAUACACCUGCAAUCAUAAUGAGAAUGUAGCUAUCAAACAACAUCAAGAAUUGUCUAAGUGUCUCCUGGCUUAUGACCAAAUAAAUAUUGAUUUGGUUAAUGGA
This is a non-coding RNA of Pantherophis guttatus, 553 nucleotides long. Lineage: Eukaryota; Metazoa; Chordata; Lepidosauria; Squamata; Colubridae. The record is from RefSeq and is a predicted model, not a curated record.